This is a long non-coding RNA of Etheostoma spectabile (orangethroat darter), 98 nucleotides long. RefSeq lists it as uncharacterized. The record is from RefSeq and is a predicted model, not a curated record. Lineage: Eukaryota; Metazoa; Chordata; Actinopteri; Perciformes; Percidae. The transcript has 3 exons.
CGGAUCUACACGAUUCAGGUGGAUGACAUGUUCCCAUUCAAAAUGGAGAUUUCCCCCGAAAAGCGACUAGUUUGCAGGUGUGCUGCAGAUUUAACACU